This 117-nucleotide ribosomal RNA is filed under the name Mammut americanum (American mastodon). Its description in RNAcentral is "partial 16S ribosomal RNA". The record is from RNAcentral. Lineage: Eukaryota; Metazoa; Chordata; Mammalia; Proboscidea; Mammutidae.
CAACACAGGCAUGCUUAAGGAGAGAUUACAAAAAGUAAAAGGAAUUCAGCAAAUCUUACCCCGCUUGUUUACCAAAAGCAUCACCUCUAGCAUUACCAGUAUUAGAGUCACUGCCUG